GCAACCCCAGGUUAGGCGGACCACCCGCC
This 29-nucleotide ribosomal RNA is filed under the name Calamus ursinus. RNAcentral's name for it is "partial 26S ribosomal RNA". The record is from RNAcentral. Lineage: Eukaryota; Viridiplantae; Streptophyta; Magnoliopsida; Arecales; Arecaceae.